UUCCACGUGUAGCGGUGAAAUGCGUAGAGAUGUGGAGGAACACCAGUGGCGAAGGCGACUCUCUGGUCUGUAACUGACGCUGAGGCGCGAAAGCGUGGGGAGCGAACAGGAUUAGAUACCCUGGUAGUCCACGCCGUAAACGAUGAGUGCUAGGUGUUAGGGGGUUUCCGCCCCUUAGUGCUGAAGUUAACGCAUUAAGCACUCCGCCUGGGGAGUACGGCCGCAAGGCUGAAACUCAAAAGAAUUGACGGGGGCCCGCACAAGCGGUGGAGCAUGUGGUUUAAUUCGAAGCAACGCGAAGAACCUUACCAGGUCUUGACAUCCUCUGACCACCCUAGAGAUAGGGCUUUCCCUUCGGGGACAGAGUGACAGGUGGUGCAUGGUUGUCGUCAGCUCGUGUCGUGAGAUGUUGGGUUAAGUCCCGCAACGAGCGCAACCCUUGUUCUUAGUUGCCAGCAUUUAGUUGGGCACUCUAAGGAGACUGCCGGUGACAAACCGGAGGAAGGUGGGGAUGACGUCAAAUCAUCAUGCCCCUUAUGACCUGGGCUACACACGUGCUACAAUGGAUGGUACAAAGGGCAGCGAAGCCGCGAGGUGAAGC
Molecule: ribosomal RNA, 601 nt
Filed under: Ornithinibacillus sp.
Lineage: Bacteria; Bacillati; Bacillota; Bacilli; Caryophanales; Bacillaceae
Description: bacterial SSU rRNA
Rfam family: Bacterial small subunit ribosomal RNA
Source: RNAcentral